Long non-coding RNA from Hevea brasiliensis (rubber tree), 468 nucleotides. RefSeq lists it as uncharacterized. The record is from RefSeq and is a predicted model, not a curated record. The transcript is spliced from 2 exons. NCBI's taxonomy places the organism in Eukaryota, Viridiplantae, Streptophyta, Magnoliopsida, Malpighiales, Euphorbiaceae.
UUCAAAGACGCAAAGCAAUCAAAUAGGCUGCUGAACAUUUCAAAAAUCAUGCAUGGAUCCAGAGGAUGUUGAAUCAUAUAAAUUUUCAGCUAUAUGAUUUCAUUAAAAGAGCUACUUCAUUUUCUGAGUCGUUUACUGUGGAAAAGAAAUGCAAGAUUUAUGUUUUGAACCUGUAAAUGAAUGAAUGAAUUUCAACAGAGGAAAGUCACUCUAUUUUUGUCCUUUUUUCCCUAUUUUAUUCAUUAAUCUUUCACAAAUAUUUUAUUAGUCUUUUAAUCUCUAUUUUUGCUAAGUUGGUCCAUUACCUUUUGUUAUUGACUUUAAUGCAUUGGUAGGAAGUUUAUCAUGUGCAUGGAUUUGACAUGGACAUGGAAAAUACCAAGCUAUGCUAUUAUCAAUUUAUUUAAUUAUUACAUUAACCUGAAUAUUCUGAUGUUACAAUUCAAUUGCUUCAAAAUUUGUUAUAAA